Molecule: ribosomal RNA, 228 nt
Filed under: uncultured bacterium
Lineage: Bacteria
Description: partial 16S ribosomal RNA
Rfam family: Bacterial small subunit ribosomal RNA
Source: RNAcentral
UACGGAGGGUGCAAGCGUUAUCCGGAUUCACUGGGUUAAGGUGCGUAGGUGGUUGGUAAGUCAGUUGUGAAAUCUCCGGGCUUAACUCGGAAAGUCAACUGAUACUGUGCGACUAGAGUGCAGAAGGGCAACGUGGAAUUCUCGGUGUAGCGGUGAAAUGCGUAGAUAUCUGGAGGAACACCGGUGGCGAAGGCGGCAUCCUGGACCAAUAGUUGACGCUGAGGAGCG